This 210-nucleotide unclassified non-coding RNA is filed under the name Hevea brasiliensis (rubber tree). The record is from RNAcentral. Lineage: Eukaryota; Viridiplantae; Streptophyta; Magnoliopsida; Malpighiales; Euphorbiaceae.
GAACUCAGUUCCACAGUGAUACAUUUACUCAUCUUGCCAUUAGAACCGCCUUCUUUUGAAUAAAGUUAACAUUACAAAAGCUUCUAACAUGAACAGGUGUCUGUACAACAAACAGGGUUUAUUCGAGCUGCUGUUAAAAAAAUACCAUUUUAAAAAUGUUGAUUAAAGACCUUAAAAUUUUGGCUAUAAUUUAAAUUUAAUAUAUUUUAG